UCUCUCUUUCUCGCUAUCUUCCCAUUUUCUCUACUUCUCUCUGUCCUAUUCAAAUAAGAUUUUAAGAAAUAGAGAAAGAAAGAAAGAAAGAAAGAAAGAAGAAUGGAAGUAGUAACUAAAUACUGAUGCUAGACUUGAGUCAUAUGCUUUCAGUAGAAGGUAAAAAUAAGCUUUAAAACAGCGGUUACA
This is a long non-coding RNA of Erinaceus europaeus (western European hedgehog), 189 nucleotides long. RefSeq lists it as uncharacterized. The transcript is spliced from 2 exons. The record is from RefSeq and is a predicted model, not a curated record. NCBI's taxonomy places the organism in Eukaryota, Metazoa, Chordata, Mammalia, Eulipotyphla, Erinaceidae.